This 1996-nucleotide ribosomal RNA is filed under the name Escherichia coli 3-267-03_S3_C1. RNAcentral describes it as "bacterial LSU rRNA". It matches the Rfam family "Bacterial large subunit ribosomal RNA", at positions 100 to 2122 of the family's 2925-position model. Lineage: Bacteria; Pseudomonadati; Pseudomonadota; Gammaproteobacteria; Enterobacterales; Enterobacteriaceae. The record is from RNAcentral.
AUAACCGGCGAUUUCCGAAUGGGGAAACCCAGUGUGUUUCGACACACUAUCAUUAACUGAAUCCAUAGGUUAAUGAGGCGAACCGGGGGAACUGAAACAUCUAAGUACCCCGAGGAAAAGAAAUCAACCGAGAUUCCCCCAGUAGCGGCGAGCGAACGGGGAGCAGCCCAGAGCCUGAAUCAGUGUGUGUGUUAGUGGAAGCGUCUGGAAAGGCGCGCGAUACAGGGUGACAGCCCCGUACACAAAAAUGCACAUACUGUGAGCUCGAUGAGUAGGGCGGGACACGUGGUAUCCUGUCUGAAUAUGGGGGGACCAUCCUCCAAGGCUAAAUACUCCUGACUGACCGAUAGUGAACCAGUACCGUGAGGGAAAGGCGAAAAGAACCCCGGCGAGGGGAGUGAAAAAGAACCUGAAACCGUGUACGUACAAGCAGUGGGAGCACGCUUAGGCGUGUGACUGCGUACCUUUUGUAUAAUGGGUCAGCGACUUAUAUUCUGUAGCAAGGUUAACCGAAUAGGGGAGCCGAAGGGAAACCGAGUCUUAACUGGGCGUUAAGUUGCAGGGUAUAGACCCGAAACCCGGUGAUCUAGCCAUGGGCAGGUUGAAGGUUGGGUAACACUAACUGGAGGACCGAACCGACUAAUGUUGAAAAAUUAGCGGAUGACUUGUGGCUGGGGGUGAAAGGCCAAUCAAACCGGGAGAUAGCUGGUUCUCCCCGAAAGCUAUUUAGGUAGCGCCUCGUGAAUUCAUCUCCGGGGGUAGAGCACUGUUUCGGCAAGGGGGUCAUCCCGACUUACCAACCCGAUGCAAACUGCGAAUACCGGAGAAUGUUAUCACGGGAGACACACGGCGGGUGCUAACGUCCGUCGUGAAGAGGGAAACAACCCAGACCGCCAGCUAAGGUCCCAAAGUCAUGGUUAAGUGGGAAACGAUGUGGGAAGGCCCAGACAGCCAGGAUGUUGGCUUAGAAGCAGCCAUCAUUUAAAGAAAGCGUAAUAGCUCACUGGUCGAGUCGGCCUGCGCGGAAGAUGUAACGGGGCUAAACCAUGCACCGAAGCUGCGGCAGCGACGCUGAUGCGUUGUUGGGUAGGGGAGCGUUCUGUAAGCCUGCGAAGGUGUGCUGUGAGGCAUGCUGGAGGUAUCAGAAGUGCGAAUGCUGACAUAAGUAACGAUAAAGCGGGUGAAAAGCCCGCUCGCCGGAAGACCAAGGGUUCCUGUCCAACGUUAAUCGGGGCAGGGUGAGUCGACCCCUAAGGCGAGGCCGAAAGGCGUAGUCGAUGGGAAACAGGUUAAUAUUCCUGUACUUGGUGUUACUGCGAAGGGGGGACGGAGAAGGCUAUGUUGGCCGGGCGACGGUUGUCCCGGUUUAAGCGUGUAGGCUGGUUUUCCAGGCAAAUCCGGAAAAUCAAGGCUGAGGCGUGAUGACGAGGCACUACGGUGCUGAAGCAACAAAUGCCCUGCUUCCAGGAAAAGCCUCUAAGCAUCAGGUAACAUCAAAUCGUACCCCAAACCGACACAGGUGGUCAGGUAGAGAAUACCAAGGCGCUUGAGAGAACUCGGGUGAAGGAACUAGGCAAAAUGGUGCCGUAACUUCGGGAGAAGGCACGCUGAUAUGUAGGUGAGGUCCCUCGCGGAUGGAGCUGAAAUCAGUCGAAGAUACCAGCUGGCUGCAACUGUUUAUUAAAAACACAGCACUGUGCAAACACGAAAGUGGACGUAUACGGUGUGACGCCUGCCCGGUGCCGGAAGGUUAAUUGAUGGGGUUAGCGCAAGCGAAGCUCUUGAUCGAAGCCCCGGUAAACGGCGGCCGUAACUAUAACGGUCCUAAGGUAGCGAAAUUCCUUGUCGGGUAAGUUCCGACCUGCACGAAUGGCGUAAUGAUGGCCAGGCUGUCUCCACCCGAGACUCAGUGAAAUUGAACUCGCUGUGAAGAUGCAGUGUACCCGCGGCAAGACGGAAAGACCCCGUGAACCUUUACUAUAGCUUGACACUGAAC